AUUGAACGCUGGCGGCAGGCUUAACACAUGCAAGUCGAGCGGGGUGAUGGUGCUUGCACUAUCACUUAGCGGCGGACGGGUGAGUAAUGCUUAGGAAUCUGCCUAUUAGUGGGGGACAACAUCUCGAAAGGGAUGCUAAUACCGCAUACGUCCUACGGGAGAAAGCAGGGGACCACUUGUGACCUUGCGCUAAUAGAUGAGCCUAAGUCGGAUUAGCUAGUUGGUGGGGUAAAGGCCUACCAAGGCGACGAUCUGUAGCGGGUCUGAGAGGAUGAUCCGCCACACUGGGACUGAGACACGGCCCAGACUCCUACGGGAGGCAGCAGUGGGGAAUAUUGGACAAUGGGGGGAACCCUGAUCCAGCCAUGCUGCGUGUGUGAAGAAGGCCUUAUGGUUGUAAAGCACUUUAAGCGAGGAGGAGGCUCUUUUGGUUAAUACCCAAGAUGAGUGGACGUUACUCGCAGAAUAAGCACCGGCUAACUCUGUGCCAGCAGCCGCCGUAA
Molecule: ribosomal RNA, 503 nt
Filed under: uncultured bacterium
Lineage: Bacteria
Description: partial 16S ribosomal RNA
Rfam family: Bacterial small subunit ribosomal RNA
Source: RNAcentral